CCGGGGUAAUACGGGAGGCAGCAGCCGCGGUAAUACGGGAGCCAGCAGCCGCGGUAAUACGGGAGCCAGCAGCCGCGGUAAUACGGA
This 87-nucleotide ribosomal RNA is filed under the name uncultured bacterium. Its description in RNAcentral is "partial 16S ribosomal RNA". The record is from RNAcentral.